AUUGAACGCUGGCGGCAUGCUUUACACAUGCAAGUCGAACGGCAGCACGGGUGCUUGCACCUGGUGGCGAGUGGCGAACGGGUGAGUAAUGCAUCGGAACGUGCCCAUGAGGUGGGGGAUAGCCCGGACGAAAGCCGGAUUAAUACCGCAUACGCCCGUUAGGGGAAAGCGGGGGAUCUUCGGACCUCGCGCUAUUGGAGCGGCCGAUGUCGGAUUAGCUAGUAGGUGAGGUAAAGGCUCACCUAGGCGACGAUCCGUAGCUGGUCUGAGAGGAUGAUCAGCCACACUGGGACUGAGACACGGCCCAGACUCCUACGGGAGGCAGCAGGUGGGGUAAUUUUGGACAAUGGGCGCAAGCCUGAUCCAGCCAUGCCGCGUGAGUGAAGAAGCCGUUCGGGUUGUAAAGCUUCUUCAGGUGGAAAAAAAUAGCGCUGUUUAAUAGAUGGCGUUGAUGACGGUACCACCAGAAGAAGCACCGGCUAACUACGUG
RNAcentral lists this ribosomal RNA (490 nucleotides) under uncultured bacterium. RNAcentral's name for it is "bacterial SSU rRNA". It matches the Rfam family "Bacterial small subunit ribosomal RNA", at positions 30 to 507 of the family's 1533-position model. The record is from RNAcentral.